RNAcentral lists this ribosomal RNA (517 nucleotides) under uncultured bacterium. Its description in RNAcentral is "bacterial SSU rRNA". It matches the Rfam family "Bacterial small subunit ribosomal RNA", at positions 355 to 890 of the family's 1533-position model. The record is from RNAcentral.
UGGGGAAUAUUGCGCAAUGGGGGAAACCCUGACGCAGCCAUGCCGCGUGAGUGAAGAAGGUCUUCGGAUCGUAAAGCUCUUUCAACGGUGAAGAUGAUGACGGUAGCCGUAGAAGAAGCCCCGGCUAACUUCGUGCCAGCAGCCGCGGUAAUACGAAGGGGGCAAGCGUUGUUCGGAAUUACUGGGCGUAAAGAGUUCGUAGGCGGACUAGCAAGUUAGAGGUGAAAUCCCAGGGCUCAACCUUGGAACUGCCUUUAAAACUGCUAGUCUAGAGACCGGAAGAGGUUAGGGGAAUACCUAGUGUAGAGGUGAAAUUCGUAGAUAUUAGGUGGAACACCAGUGGCGAAGGCGCCUAACUGGUCCGGUACUGACGCUGAGGAACGAAAGCGUGGGGAGCAAACAGGAUUAGAUACCCUGGUAGUCCACGCCGUAAACGAUGAGUGCUAGAUGUUGGGAUUUUCGGAUUUCAGUGUCGCAGCUAACGCAUUAAGCACUCCGCCUGGGGAGUACGGCCGCA